Molecule: transfer RNA, 105 nt
Filed under: Serpula lacrymans var. lacrymans S7.3
Lineage: Eukaryota; Fungi; Basidiomycota; Agaricomycetes; Boletales; Serpulaceae
Rfam family: tRNA
About the family: Transfer RNA (tRNA) molecules are approximately 80 nucleotides in length. Their secondary structure includes four short double-helical elements and three loops (D, anti-codon, and T loops).
Source: Rfam by way of RNAcentral
GGUGGGAUGGCCGAGCGGUCUAAGGCGCCAGACUAAGGAACCACAUCAUAUGAUGAUGAAUCAAUCUGGUCCGAAAGGGCGGGAGUUCGAAUCUCCCUUCCAUCA